This is a long non-coding RNA of Orbicella faveolata, 1108 nucleotides long. The record is from RefSeq and is a predicted model, not a curated record. NCBI's taxonomy places the organism in Eukaryota, Metazoa, Cnidaria, Anthozoa, Scleractinia, Merulinidae.
AGCAUUGUAAUUGGUUUAUUCUUCCGCUUCUGCUUCCGACUCUGACAAUCUAGUUUUCACUAGAUCGUAAGCGACAGAGUCAUAAGCGGAAUGGGUGUAAUGCUUCCAACUCCGUUGGCUUGAUUUUCACUAGAUCGUAUCACUCUACGCUUCUGAUUAUGACUCUGACUACGACUCCGUCGCUAGUGAAAACCAGCCUUUAGAGAGCUUUAUGCCAAAAGCUCCCUGUACAUGUAUGUAAAUACACAUUGGAAACAUAAACAAGGCUAGUUAAACAAAUGACUUGUAAAAUCCAAAAUAUAAUUUGCUCUUUUAGGAACAACUGGAAGAUAAAACAAGACUUAAUGAAAACUUAGAAAAACAGUUAUCUCAAAGACCCUCAGGCAAUGAAGUAAUCACAUUACAGAAUCAACUCUCCACUGCACAACAACAGGUGUCUUCACUGCAGCAAGAAAAGGAGGAGGAACAUAAAUCAUGGCAGGAAAAAUUCAAUGCAACCUUAAUAGAAGUCAACAGCUUACAAAUGAAAGUGAAGGAGCUUGAAGUGGAAAAGGCAUCAAAAAUUGAACAAGUCCAGAGGUAACUGAACAUUACUCUAGUUUAUUGUUAAAACCAGUGGGCAGUAUUACAGCAUAUGAUAGCAUGAAUGUUCUAUCGUUGUAAAGUUUAGAGUGGUUUUCAAUAGACCAUAUUGAUAUUCUUCGUAUUGGACUGGAACUAGCUUGUAAUGGAGGCUCAUGCGGGGAAUAUCAUUAAAAAGAGAUAAGAUUCCCCUCAUUAUCCUCCAUUGCAAGCUACAAUCCUGAACAAAAGUACAUGUAGUUGGGACAUUUGAGCUGGAUCAUGUAUUACCCAUCCCCCCUAAUCAAUGUUGGAAAACGUCGCGUUUUUUCAACAAAAAGGGAAAAAAUCUCCCGAUUAUCAACAUUGUCAGUGGUGGGAGGGGAGAACUUGCUUCGUGUCCCAACUUUUUGUCUGGGAGUGUAGUUCCAGUCCAUUACCAACAAUGUGAAUAUGGCCUCUUGAGUGUCAUAAAACCAAAACCAAUGUUAUCACAUAGGCCAAUCAUAAAGUAUUAUUCCACAAGAAUACUUAAGGCAAAGUGUUG